CCCCACGUUCGGAUUGCAGCCUGCAACUCGGCUGCAUGAAGCUGGAAUCGCUAGUAAUCGCGGAUCAGAAUGCCGCGGUGAAUACGUUCCCGGGUCUUGUACACACCGCCCGUCACACCAUGGGAGCCGGGAAUGCCCGAAGUCAGUGGCCCAACCGCAGGGAGGGAGCUGCCGAAGGCAGGCCUGGUGACUGGGGUGAAGUCGUAACAAGGUACC
This 216-nucleotide ribosomal RNA is filed under the name uncultured bacterium. RNAcentral describes it as "partial 16S ribosomal RNA". It matches the Rfam family "Bacterial small subunit ribosomal RNA", at positions 1285 to 1500 of the family's 1533-position model. The record is from RNAcentral.